GCCAGGUGUGGUGGUGCAUGCCUGUAAUCCCAGCUACUUGGGAGGCUGAGACAGGAGAAUCACUUGAACCUGGGAGGCAGAGGUUGCAGUGAGCCGAGAUCCUGCCACUGCACUCCAGCCUGGGCGACAGAGUGAGAUUCUGUCUCCA
Unclassified non-coding RNA from Pongo abelii (Sumatran orangutan), 148 nucleotides. It matches the Rfam family "Metazoan signal recognition particle RNA". Rfam says of the family: The signal recognition particle (SRP) is a universally conserved ribonucleoprotein. It is involved in the co-translational targeting of proteins to membranes. The eukaryotic SRP consists of a 300-nucleotide 7S RNA and six proteins: SRPs 72, 68, 54, 19, 14, and 9. Lineage: Eukaryota; Metazoa; Chordata; Mammalia; Primates; Hominidae. The record is from Ensembl.